Molecule: ribosomal RNA, 497 nt
Filed under: uncultured bacterium
Lineage: Bacteria
Description: partial 16S ribosomal RNA
Rfam family: Bacterial small subunit ribosomal RNA
Source: RNAcentral
GAUGAACGCUGGCGGCGUGCCUAAUACAUGCAAGUCGAGCGAACAGACGAGGAGCUUGCUCCUCUGACGUUAGCGGCGGACGGGUGAGUAACACGUGGAUAACCUACCUAUAAGACUGGGAUAACUUCGGGAAACCGGAGCUAAUACCGGAUAAUAUAUUGAACCGCAUGGUCCAAUAGUGAAAGACGGUUUUGCUGUCACUUAUAGAUGGAUCCGCGCCGCAUUAGCUAGUUGGUAAGGUUACGGCUUACCAAGGCAACGAUGCGUAGCCGACCUGAGAGGGUGAUCGGCCACACUGGAACUGAGACACGGUCCAGACUCCUACGGGAGGCAGCAGUAGGGAAUCUUCCGCAAUGGGCGAAAGCUUGACGGAGCAACGCCGCGUGAGUGAUGAAGGUCUUCGGAUCGUAAAACUCUGUUAUUAGGGAAGAACAAAUGUGUAAGUAACUAUGCGCGUCUUGACGGUACCUAAUCAGAAAGCCACGGCUAACUACGUG